UUUUCUUUAUUUUUAUUUACUUUUCCAUCCUUUUAAUUUUUUCUCUCAUCGUCUCUUUUAUACAAAUCAGGGACAUGUUGCAUCACAUUGGCAAAUGCAUAUGAUCUCUCGCUGCUAAAUAAAGAGAAAAUAAAGAUACCCACCUUGUUAUAAAAACAAAAAGAAGGCAGUCCUCGACAGUCAACAUGAAUACUGAACACUGAGUGAGUUCAUUUAACCUUUGCUACUUUGAGAGUAUUAUGAGCUUAAAAGCAGAGAAUGAGAAAAAAAAAAAAAAAAGAAGAUUUAAUUUCUUGAUUAUCUUCUGUGUAUAUAUAUGUAUUCAACUGAUGAAUCAGAAGAAUGGAACUACCUUGUCUUUUUCAUGGCUGGUCAAUGUUAAACAUUUUCUUCUUCUUUUUCUCUUCCUUUUAUGAAUAUCCCAAAGGGGAUUUGCAUGCAUGAUAGUGUUGCUGAGAGAGAGAGACCAUAAAGAGGAUUUUAUAAAGAUGAUGCUUUUGUUAAAGACAUGGAUUUUAGUGUUAAAGAGUAACCAUAGAGAUGAAUCAUGGAAGAAAAAGGGUACAGAAGAAAGUGAUAUAUACAUGUGCAUGUAUAAGAGUUGCAAGUGCAUUGCAUGAAAGUGUGUGAUUACUCACAAUGCCUAUGUAUGUGUUUCUUUAAAGACACGCUGCUUUUCCAAGCAUUUCUAGUCUCAAAAAUUUUAUAACACAUUUUAAAAGUUCAACAAUCACACAAUCUAAAAAAUAAAUAUAAAAAAAAAUUAAAACAUGAAUAUAUUUUAAUAAUACAAUACGAGGUUCUCACAUUUAAAAAAUAAAAUUUACAAUAAUUGUGUAAACUUUUUUUUGAAGAAAAAGAGUUUCUCUUUUUUUAUUUUUUCUUUUUUGUCUGCUAAUGACACGUAAUGACUUUCCUGCUCUCUGUUAUGUAGGUAUAUACGUCAGACGUCCUCUCCACGCCAGAUAGCCAUUUAAUUUCUCUCGGCACACGCGAGAACAGAGCUGCGAAGUAACUAAAUUUAUUGUCCCUUCUACGUCAUAUCACCGAACUGAACCUGUAAUGAGUGGAUCUGAAUUUGUGAUUGAUUCAAUAUGCUCUGUGGGCCUAAAUCGAGACUUUGGACCGAAAUUAUUUUUUAAGGCCCGGUCUAAUGAAACCUAGCGAUCGUACAAUCCAUCCGAAAUGAUUUUGUUAUGAACAUUGGUUAUAAUAAUUUUAUAUAAUCUCAUCGUAAUCAUUAAUUAAUAUUUGAUGAUUGUAAUAUAAUUGUAUUAAAUCAUUUUUUUUAUAUCUCAGCUUUAUAAUAUUACUCCCAAAAUACAACCUUAUUUUUAUUUAAUUUUUAAUUAUUGAUCCCC
RNAcentral lists this long non-coding RNA (1361 nucleotides) under Manihot esculenta (cassava). RNAcentral describes it as "long non-coding RNA (MESC_LNC010398)". Lineage: Eukaryota; Viridiplantae; Streptophyta; Magnoliopsida; Malpighiales; Euphorbiaceae. The record is from RNAcentral.